GCCCAGGUAGCUCAGUUGGUAGAGCAUGCGACUGAAAAUUGCAGUGUCGGUGGUUCGAUUCCACUCCUGGGCACCA
Molecule: transfer RNA, 76 nt
Filed under: Acidisoma cellulosilyticum
Lineage: Bacteria; Pseudomonadati; Pseudomonadota; Alphaproteobacteria; Acetobacterales; Acidocellaceae
Also listed under: 1 other name
Description: tRNA-Phe
Rfam family: tRNA
About the family: Transfer RNA (tRNA) molecules are approximately 80 nucleotides in length. Their secondary structure includes four short double-helical elements and three loops (D, anti-codon, and T loops).
Source: RNAcentral